GCCUGGGUGGCUCAACGGUACCGCGUGUCAUCUUGGACUUUUGUCAGGUUGCCAGUUCGAAGCUGGCCUUGGGGA
Molecule: transfer RNA, 75 nt
Filed under: Rhizoctonia solani
Lineage: Eukaryota; Fungi; Basidiomycota; Agaricomycetes; Cantharellales; Ceratobasidiaceae
Description: tRNA-Gln
Source: RNAcentral